AGAUAUAAAGGUGAAGAGAUUAAAAUUCAAGCAUGGGAAAGUCAGCAGAAAGCAAAACUAGAAGCAGAGAUCCGGAAAAUAGAGGUAUUUUAAUGGCCUUUUGAUUGUCCACAUGUAUUUAUAGCUCUAAGCCCUAACAUGAUUUUAGUUUUUGUCUGCAUUCUUGUUUAAUAGAAUGAACAGUAGCCUAGAUCAUUUGAAAAUUGCAAGAAGGCCUAAAAUCUUAGUUAAUUCUUUUCAAGUUUAGGUGAAAUAUAGGCAUCACUCAUCCUUAGACUGCUAUGUAGUGGGCAGAUAUUUUACUGAGUUGUCAGAAAUCCAUAAAUUUUCAGGCCCAAGUAGACAAAAUGCGAGCCCAAGCUCAAGCAAAGAUGGUAAAGAAGAUCUCCAUGGCAGGGCAACGGUCAGAAGAAAAACACGCUGCAGCAGAAGCCAGGAAAAACAGGGAUGCAGAAAAAACUGCAGCCCAAGCAGAGUCUAUACGUCAGACAGGACGAAUGCCAUCAUCCCAUUACAUGUGCUGUGGUUGGUUGUCAUAAAGCUGAAAACAUCAAAUAUUCAAGUGGAAAGAAUUUGCUCAUACUCAUUGAGCCAAAGUGGCAUCUCUUGUACUUCGUUUUUUCCUUUCAAAAUUCAUUCGAGUGUUGUCCACUUGUCCUGUAUGUUGCUCAGUCUUUGUAUCUAAUGGAGUGACCUUAGUUUGCAAGUUAGUAUGUGAAUCUUCUCUGCAUUUUCUGUAACAUUAACUUCAUUCAAACACAAAGUACGAACACCUUGAACAAGUAAAGAAAACUGAUCCUAAAACUUACAACUAACCCUCAAAAUACCCGUUUAAGGUCUGAAUAUUUGGAUUUUGGAUGAUGUGUUGCACUAGAACAUUGCAACAUAGAGACGGCCAUGAAUGAUUAAGGUUUUUGUGACCCAAGAGAUAACAAAGAUUGGCCCAGUACGGCAGCCCCAACUUGAGAAACAAGGUCGACUUGUGAGAAGGUCGAAGAUCUAAGUUGAUUCGGUUCGGAAUCAAAAUUGAAACUUUUCAAUCUAAAAAUGAAAUUGAACUAAAAUUGAUCAAAAUUAGAUUUAAAGAAACGGUCUUAAAUCUAACCAAGACUGACCAGUUUGGUUUGCUGAAAUUUCAGGCUGAAACUGAAUUUUUCGAAUGAAUAAAAAACUUAAAAGAUUUCUUGAAUUGCUCCUAAUGAAUCAACAAAUUAUUAUUACUAUUAUUUUGGAAAAAGAGACCUAAAAGCUCCAAAAAGAAACCUAAGCAGAAGAAAAGCGAACCAG
Molecule: unclassified non-coding RNA, 1287 nt
Filed under: Hevea brasiliensis (rubber tree)
Lineage: Eukaryota; Viridiplantae; Streptophyta; Magnoliopsida; Malpighiales; Euphorbiaceae
Source: RNAcentral